This 281-nucleotide long non-coding RNA is filed under the name Lathyrus oleraceus (garden pea). RNAcentral describes it as "Pisum sativum (pea) long non-coding RNA (PSAT_LNC029053)". The record is from RNAcentral. Lineage: Eukaryota; Viridiplantae; Streptophyta; Magnoliopsida; Fabales; Fabaceae.
UUUCAAUGCUUGCUCGGUUUUUCAAGAGUUGUGGCACUUACCGAUUCUCUUUUUCAUUCUCCCCAACUUAUUUCUUACUCAUCCUAAGUGAAUGCUCUUGACUUUUUACGGCAAAAGAACAAUUAUAAAAAUUUUCCGGGUUUCAAGAAAAAAGAUUUUUGACAUCUCGCUUUAUUUCAAGUUGAGAUUCAACUGUUUAAGCUCAAAGGAGUUAACAAAUACUCUCUCUGCUCACGGGUAAGUUGUAUUUGGAACUGGUUGUUGUAACACCCCGAUAAAAU